CUUUUUGACAUGGACACAAUAACAUGUUACCAUAGAUCCAUAUACAGGAGAAGAUUUUAUUCUAAACAAUUCUUAGAAAUCAACAUUCAUGUAAGACAGUACUGGUUCAAUAGUCAGUUAAACUGCCUUAGUUCCUGACUCUGUUCCUACCUACUGUGACUUUGGGAGAGGUGGUUCAAGAUGGCGGUGUAGGGAGAUCUUUACCUCACCUCCUUCCACGUACCCAACAAAUAUACAGCUACAUCUGGAACAAGUCCCUCUGAAAGGAACCUGAGAACUGGUUGAACACCUGAUCAAUGAAGGAUCAAAGGACCACACUGAGACAGAAGACUUUAGAAUAAUUCCCUCAUCUUCUCACCACCAAACUUACCAGCUACCUGCAUCUGCACUCUGCCUUCCUCUUUCCUGCUGUGUUGGAAGAAGUGUCCCUUCUUUAAUCAAAGUUCUGGAAGCUGGAAAGCCAAAGAUCAAAGUUCAGUUUCAGAAGAGAAGGAGCCAUGAAUUAUGGAGACACCUGUCACCUAAUGAAUUGACUAACAAACAAUAAAAUAGGAGAAGACGUUAAUAGAUGGUAGGAAGAAGGAGGGGCCUUUGUUAAGUAAGGCAACACAUCUCUUCAGACUUGUCCUGGUCACUCUACCAAUAAAAAGCAUGGGAUUGAUGCAUAUAUAUUACUUCUUGUUGAAUAGAGCUUUAUGUUUUCUAUGGAGUUAAAAAGUGAAUGAUGUGUUUGUGUAUGUUUUAUCCCCCAAAAUGCCUAAAUUAAUUUUGUUUUUGACUUUUGUAUGGCUCAUGUCUAAUUUCUUUCCUCAUUGAUGGGUGGUCCUGGAGAGAUAAGAUUUGACUGUACCCUGCAGUGGCAUUAUAUUCUUCUUGACCUUCUUUCUAUACAAACUGGAAUCUUUAUGACUCUUGUAAGUUAACCUAUAAAAGUUUCAAAAUCUACUGCCGCUUCUGUACUGUCAACCACUCAAGUCCUAAUCAUUCCAGCUACAAUGUGUUUUACUUUGUUUUACCUUUUAAUGAGAUCUUUGACAUCAAUUCCUUUCUCCACGGUUCAGUUUAUUUUUAUUUGACAACUUAGCUUGUUAUAGGAGCAAUUGAAAAACUCACCUAAUUAAAAUUCACACAUCAUGAAGUUUAAUUCAGUGGUAAGGUUAAUUUUCCUCUAAGCUAUUGAAUGUCAGUGAUUACUUUUCCAGUGGAAGUGAGGACGAAACCAAAAAAGAACUUUUCAUUCCUUUUAUCAUUAGCAUAAACUAUCCCCAACCAAAAUACUAAAGAGAAAGUCCUAGGAAAAAUCCUCAAUAUGGAUCAAAACUGUACUACUGCAGAUGGCAAAGAUUCUGUUCUCAGUAAGUAUGAGAUGCUUUAAAAAGAAAGUGGUAAAUGUAAUCUUACAAGAAGUAUGUGAAUGGGGCCCAGUCAUCUUAGAAAUAGUUCACUGCUUAGAGGUUGUACUAGUUGACAUUAGUUCUCAUUCACUAGUUCUGGUGGUCUAAAGCAUUAAAUGCACUUCUGCUUUGGGAAAAGGG
Molecule: long non-coding RNA, 1535 nt
Organism: Acinonyx jubatus (cheetah)
Lineage: Eukaryota; Metazoa; Chordata; Mammalia; Carnivora; Felidae
Exons: 5
Source: RefSeq, a predicted model, not a curated record